ACAUCUAACAGCUCCAAAGAUGGCUUCUGUUGGACUGAUGCGAUAUUCGGCCCAGUUCUUUAGAAGCCUACGACGAACAACAGAGACGGUGUCACCACUUCUUAGAGAGCAACUUAGACAGCUAGGAGUCUUGAGAACUCGUGGAAGAUACCGUGGGACAAGAGCCGUACCGGGGCACGGACAGCUGACCCAACCGUCGACUACUUCCUACCAGGUGUCCGUGCGGGAUCUGUGUACCGAGACAAGGUCAACAACAACAAUAACAACAACCUGUGAAGAGCAAACCACAGACCAACCCAGCGCGGCCAACACGUGUGACCUCCAUUACUUAUCAACCAACAUAAUUCUGGAGCGCUAUGUUAGCGCGCUUCUGUGUGCUUUCAUUUCUUAGCAGUCUAAGCUUGUUCUAGAUCAAAUCAUAAACAUAAUAAAUAACAAACAAGUUAUGUAUUAUUUUCAUAAACCUAGUUUCAUUUAUAUCACAACCUUAUUUUAACUCAAUAUUAAUCUCAAUAUAAACAUUGCAAAUGACUAUCUGAAUAUUGUGGUAUAGAAUUGAUCCAAUUUAAUUUUUACAACUGGAAACAAAUGGAGACUCAUUUUUGGCCAUUUCGUGUAACAUCUUCAACGUCACUAGAAUGAACAAACGAAUCUGUUGAAUCUGAACAAAAAAAUCUGUUGAAUCUGUUUAUCGGGCUUUCUAUUUUGUCAUUUUUCUUGACGUAAGCCAGCCAGUUAGGUGUUGACAAUACAAGAUACAAUAGAAAAGAGAAAUCCCGAUAAAAACGACUAAAAUAAUGUUUAAAAAAUAGCCGGAGCCUAACCUCUGCUUUGAGAGUAGUACUAUGUGAACCAGUCACAAUUAUCCUAAGGAAGGUGACAGACGGUCACCAAAACGUCGGUAUAGAGCAAUGGUUGUAAAACGAGUCUUCUGUAUCGUGAAUGUUAUGCUAUCCAGGUCUCGGCUGAAUUACUUAUUUCAAGAUGCAAUCCAUGAAUUUCGCUACUAUCUUUGUACGUCUCAGCUUUGCAUGAAAAUAAAUAAAUGGCUUGACUAGAGUA
This is a long non-coding RNA of Branchiostoma floridae (Florida lancelet), 1062 nucleotides long. RefSeq lists it as uncharacterized. The record is from RefSeq and is a predicted model, not a curated record. The transcript is spliced from 2 exons. Lineage: Eukaryota; Metazoa; Chordata; Leptocardii; Amphioxiformes; Branchiostomatidae.